AAUAGAUACCCGGGUAGUCCACGCCGUAAACGAUGGAUACUAGCUGUUUGGGCGUAAGCUUGAGUGGCUAAGCGAAAGUGAUAAGUAUCCCACCUGGGGAGUACGGGCGCAAGCCUGAAACUCAAAGGAAUUGACGGGGGCCCGCACAAGCGGUGGAGCAUGUGGUUCAAUUCGAUGAUACGCGAGGAACCUUACCAGGGCUUAAAUGUAGAUUGACAGGCGUGGAAACAUGCUUUUCUUCGGACAAUUUACAAGGUGCUGCAUGGUUGUCGUCAGCUCGUGCCGUGAGGUGUCAGGUUAAGUCCUAUAACGAGCGCAACCCCUGUUGUUAGUUGCCAGCGAGUAAUGUCGGGAACUCUAGCAAGACUGCCAGUGUAAACUGUGAGGAAGGUGGGGAUGACGUCAAAUCAUCACGGCCCUUACGUCCUGGGCCACACACGUGCUACAAUGGGCGGUACAGAGAGCAGCUACCUAGUGAUAGGAUGCGAAUCUAUAAAACCGUUCUCAGUUCGGA
This 514-nucleotide ribosomal RNA is filed under the name uncultured bacterium. Its description in RNAcentral is "bacterial SSU rRNA". It matches the Rfam family "Bacterial small subunit ribosomal RNA", at positions 777 to 1297 of the family's 1533-position model. The record is from RNAcentral.